GGGGAAUAUUGGACAAUGGGCGAAAGCCUGAUCCAGCCAUGCCGCGUGAGUGAUGAAGGCCCUAGGGUUGUAAAGCUCUUUUGUGCGGGAAGAUAAUGACGGUACCGCAAGAAUAAGCCCCGGCUAACUUCGUGCCAGCAGCCGCGGUAAUACGAAGGGGGCUAGCGUUGCUCGGAAUCACUGGGCGUAAAGGGUGCGUAGGCGGGUUUCUAAGUCAGGGGUGAAAGCCUGGAGCUCAACUCCAGAACUGCCUUUGAUACUGGAAGUCUUGAGUUCGGGAGAGGUGAGUGGAACUGCGAGUGUAGAGGUGAAAUUCGUUGAUAUUCGCAAGAACACCAGUGGCGAAGGCGGCUCACUGGCCCGAUACUGACGCUGAGGCACGAAAGCGUGGGGAGCAAACA
This 401-nucleotide ribosomal RNA is filed under the name uncultured bacterium. Its description in RNAcentral is "bacterial SSU rRNA". It matches the Rfam family "Bacterial small subunit ribosomal RNA", at positions 356 to 774 of the family's 1533-position model. The record is from RNAcentral.